Molecule: ribosomal RNA, 535 nt
Filed under: Trichoderma sp. 3 CET-2016
Lineage: Eukaryota; Fungi; Ascomycota; Sordariomycetes; Hypocreales; Hypocreaceae
Description: eukaryotic LSU rRNA
Rfam family: 5.8S ribosomal RNA (bases 146-299)
Source: RNAcentral
AACUGUUGCCUCGGCGGGGUCACGCCCCGGGUGCGUCGCAGCCCCGGAACCAGGCGCCCGCCGGAGGGACCAACCAAACUCUUUCUGUAGUCCCCUCGCGGACGUUAUUUCUUACAGCUCUGAGCAAAAAUUCAAAAUGAAUCAAAACUUUCAACAACGGAUCUCUUGGUUCUGGCAUCGAUGAAGAACGCAGCGAAAUGCGAUAAGUAAUGUGAAUUGCAGAAUUCAGUGAAUCAUCGAAUCUUUGAACGCACAUUGCGCCCGCCAGUAUUCUGGCGGGCAUGCCUGUCCGAGCGUCAUUUCAACCCUCGAACCCCUCCGGGGGUCCGGCGUUGGGGAUCGGGAACCCCUAAGACGGGAUCCCGGCCCCGAAAUACAGUGGCGGUCUCGCCGCAGCCUCUCAUGCGCAGUAGUUUGCACAACUCGCACCGGGAGCGCGGCGCGUCCACGUCCGUAAAACACCCAACUUCUGAAAUGUUGACCUCGGAUCAGGUAGGAAUACCCGCUGAACUUAAGCAUAUCAAUAAGCGGAGGA